UGGCGGCGUGCCUAACACAUGCAAGUCGAGCGGGGUGCAGCAAUGCACCUAGCGGCGGACGGGUGAGUAACACGUGGGUAACCUGCCCUAUACAGAGGGAUAGCCAUCCGAAAGGAUGAUUAAUACCUCAUAACUCACCACCACGGCAUCGUGGUGGUGGCAAAGGAGUAACAUCCGGUAUAGGAUGGACCCGCGGCCCAUUAGCUAGUUGGUGAGAUAACAGCCCACCAAGGCAACGAUGGGUAGCCGAUCUGAGAGGAUGACCGGCCACAUUGGAACUGAGAAACGGUCCAGACUCCUACGGGAGGCAGCAGUGGGGAAUAUUACGCAAUGGGGGAAACCCUGACGCAGCAACGCCGCGUGAGUGAUGAAGGCCUUCGGGUCGUAAAGCUCUGUCUUCGCUGACGAUAAUGACGGUAAGCGAGGAGGAAGCCACGGCUAACUACGUACCAGCAGCCGCGGUAAUACGUAGGUGGCGAGCGUUGUCCGGAAUUACUGGGCGUAAAGGGUGCGUAGGCGGACUAUUAAGUCAGAUGUGAAAUUCCAGGGCUUAACCUUGGAACUGCAUUUGAAACUGGUAGUCUAGAGUGCAGGAGAGGAAAGCGGAAUUCCUAGUGUAGCGGUGAAAUGCGUAGAUAUUAGGAAGAACACCAGUGGCGAAGGCGGCUUUCUGGACUGUAACUGACGCUGAGGCACGAAAGCGUGGGGAGCAAACAGGAUUAGAUACCCUGGUAGUCCACGCUGUAAACGAUGAGUGCUAGGUGUAGGGGGUGUCAUGCCUUCUGUGCCGCAGUAAACGCAAUAAGCACUCCGCCUGGGGAGUACGGUCGCAAGACUAAAACUCAAAGGAAUUGACGGGGGCCCGCACAAGCAGCGGAGCAUGUGGUUUAAUUCGAAGCAACGCGAAGAACCUUACCAGGACUUGACAUCUACCUAAUACUGCAGAGAUGCGGUAGUGCCUUUCGGGAAAGGUAAGACAGGUGGUGCAUGGUUGUCGUC
This 999-nucleotide ribosomal RNA is filed under the name uncultured bacterium. RNAcentral's name for it is "bacterial SSU rRNA". It matches the Rfam family "Bacterial small subunit ribosomal RNA", at positions 37 to 1056 of the family's 1533-position model. The record is from RNAcentral.